This 253-nucleotide ribosomal RNA is filed under the name uncultured bacterium. RNAcentral's name for it is "partial 16S ribosomal RNA". It matches the Rfam family "Bacterial small subunit ribosomal RNA", at positions 524 to 776 of the family's 1533-position model. The record is from RNAcentral.
UACAGAGGGGGCAAGCGUUGUUCGGAAUUACUGGGCGUAAAGGGCGCGUAGGCGGCCUGCUAAGUCGGACGUGAAAUCCCCGGGCUCAACCCGGGAACUGCGUCCGAUACUGGUUGGCUUGAAUCCGGGAGAGGGAUGCGGAAUUCCAGGUGUAGCGGUGAAAUGCGUAGAUAUCUGGAGGAACACCGGUGGCGAAGGCGGCAUCCUGGACCAACAUUGACGCUGAGGAGCGAAAGCUAGGGGAGCAAACGGG